This 140-nucleotide ribosomal RNA is filed under the name Gomphidius flavipes. RNAcentral's name for it is "5.8S ribosomal RNA". It matches the Rfam family "5.8S ribosomal RNA". From Rfam's summary of the family: 5.8S ribosomal RNA (5.8S rRNA) is a component of the large subunit of the eukaryotic ribosome. The record is from RNAcentral. Lineage: Eukaryota; Fungi; Basidiomycota; Agaricomycetes; Boletales; Gomphidiaceae.
CAACUUUCAGCAAUGGAUCUCUUGGCUCUCGCAUCGAUGAUAUGUAAUGUGAAUUGCAGAUCUACAGUGAAUCAUCGAAUCUUUGAACGCACAUUGCGCUCCUUGGUGUUCCGAGGAGCAUGCCUGUUUGAGUGUCAGUA